CACAAUGCUGCUCCCACCUACUUAUCCUCACUAAUACACAAAUAUGUCUUGUCUUGGCCCCUAACCUCUGUUCGUACUCCUACCUCAGAUGCUCACCUUAAAGACUUCUCUAGGGCUGCACCGUUCCUAAGGAAUGCCCUUCCCCUCUCUGCUAGACUCUCACCCAAUCUCUGCUCCUUCAAAAAAUCUCUGAACACUUACCUUUUUUUCACUCCAUA
Pelobates cultripes (western spadefoot toad) is the source of this 218-nucleotide non-coding RNA. NCBI's taxonomy places the organism in Eukaryota, Metazoa, Chordata, Amphibia, Anura, Pelobatidae. The record is from the annotation of a GenBank genome assembly.